This 243-nucleotide ribosomal RNA is filed under the name uncultured bacterium. Its description in RNAcentral is "partial 16S ribosomal RNA". It matches the Rfam family "Bacterial small subunit ribosomal RNA", at positions 91 to 334 of the family's 1533-position model. The record is from RNAcentral.
CGGACCGGCGCACGGGUGAGUAACGCGUAUGCAACUUACCUAUCAGGAGGGGAUAACCGGCGAAAGUCGGACUAAUACCGCAUGAAGCAGGGGCCCCGCAUGGGGAUAUUUGCUAAAGAUUCAUCGCUGAUAGAUAGGCAUGCGUUCCAUUAGGCAGUUGGCGGGGUAACGGCCCACCAAACCGACGAUGGAUAGGGGUUCUGAGAGGAAGGUCCCCCACAUUGGUACUGAGACACGGACCAA